UCCAGACUCCUACGGGAGGCAGCAGUGGGGAAUAUUGCACAAUGGGGGAAACCCUGAUGCAGCGACGCCGCGUGAGUGAAGAAGUAUCUCGGUACGUAAAGCUCUAUCAGCAGGGAAGAAAAUGACGGUACCUGACUAAGAAGCCCCGGCUAACUACGUGCCAGCAGCCGCGGUAAUACGUAGGGGGCAAGCGUUAUCCGGAUUUACUGGGUGUAAAGGGAGCGUAGACGGCAGCACAAGUCUGGAGUGAAAUCCCGGGGCUUAACCCCGGAACUGCUUUGGAAACUGUGCGGCUGGAGUGCAGGAGGGGUAAGCGGAAUUCCUAGUGUAGCGGUGAAAUGCGUAGAUAUCGCGCAGAACCCCGAUUGCGAAGGCAGCGUACCGGCUCCACACUGACGCUGAGGCACGAAAGCGUGGGUAUCGAACAGGAUUAGAUACCCGAGUA
RNAcentral lists this ribosomal RNA (445 nucleotides) under uncultured bacterium. RNAcentral describes it as "bacterial SSU rRNA". It matches the Rfam family "Bacterial small subunit ribosomal RNA", at positions 330 to 792 of the family's 1533-position model. The record is from RNAcentral.